RNAcentral lists this ribosomal RNA (500 nucleotides) under uncultured bacterium. Its description in RNAcentral is "partial 16S ribosomal RNA". It matches the Rfam family "Bacterial small subunit ribosomal RNA", at positions 29 to 523 of the family's 1533-position model. The record is from RNAcentral.
AUUGAACGCUGGCGGCAUGCCUUACACAUGCAAGUCGAACGGCAGCACGGGUGCUUGCACCUGGUGGCGAGUGGCGAACGGGUGAGUAAUACGUCGGAACGUACCUUAUCGUGGGGGAUAACGCAGCGAAAGCUGUGCUAAUACCGCAUACGCCCUGAGGGGGAAAGCGGGGAUCGCAAGACCUCGCGCGAUUAGAGCGGCCGAUGCCUGAUUAGCCAGUUGGUGGGGUAAAAGCCCACCAAGGCGACGAUCAGUAGCUGGUCUGAGAGGACGAUCAGCCACACUGGGACUGAGACACGGCCCAGACUCCUACGGGAGGCAGCAGUGGGGAAUUUUGGACAAUGGGGGCAACCCUGAUCCAGCAAUGCCGCGUGAGUGAAGAAGGCCUUCGGGUUGUAAAGCUCUUUUGUCAGGGAAGAAACACCGGCUCUAACGCAGUCCGGGAAUGACGGUACCUGAAGAAUAAGCACCGGCUAACUACGUGCCAGCAGCCGCCGUAA